RNAcentral lists this ribosomal RNA (443 nucleotides) under uncultured bacterium. RNAcentral describes it as "partial 16S ribosomal RNA". It matches the Rfam family "Bacterial small subunit ribosomal RNA", at positions 338 to 795 of the family's 1533-position model. The record is from RNAcentral.
CCUACGGGAGGCAGCAGUGGGGAAUAUUGGGCAAUGGGCGCAAGCCUGACCCAGCAACGCCGCGUGAAGGAAGAAGGCUUUCGGGUUGUAAACUUCUUUUCUCAGGGACGAAGAAAGUGACGGUACCUGAGGAAUAAGCCACGGCUAACUACGUGCCAGCAGCCGCGGUAAUACGUAGGUGGCAAGCGUUAUCCGGAUUUAUUGGGUGUAAAGGGCGUGUAGGCGGGAGCGCAAGUCAGAUGUGAAAACUCAGGGCUCAACCCUGAGCCUGCAUUUGAAACUGUGUUUCUUGAGUGCUGGGGAGGCAAUCGGAAUUCCGGGUGUAGCGGUGAAAUGCGUAGAUAUACGGAGGAACACCAGUGGCGAAGGCGGAUGGCUGGACAGUAACUGACGCUGAGGCGCGAAAGCGUGGGGAGCAAACAGGAUUAGAUACCCCAGUAGUC